RNAcentral lists this ribosomal RNA (843 nucleotides) under uncultured bacterium. RNAcentral's name for it is "bacterial SSU rRNA". It matches the Rfam family "Bacterial small subunit ribosomal RNA", at positions 51 to 893 of the family's 1533-position model. The record is from RNAcentral.
ACACAUGCAAGUCGAACGAGAAUCUGCUGAAGGAGGAUUCGUCCAACGGAAGUAGAGGAAAGUGGCGGACGGGUGAGUAACGCGUGAGGAACCUGCCUUGAAGAGGGGGACAACAGUUGGAAACGACUGCUAAUACCGCAUGAAGCAUAGGGGUCGCAUGAUUCUUAUGCCAAAGAUUUAUCGCUUCAAGAUGGCCUCGCGUCUGAUUAGCUAGUUGGCGGGGUAACGGCCCACCAAGGCGACGAUCAGUAGCCGGACUGAGAGGUUGAACGGCCACAUUGGGACUGAGAUACGGCCCAGACUCCUACGGGAGGCAGCAGUGGGGAAUAUUGGGCAAUGGGCGCAAGCCUGACCCAGCAACGCCGCGUGAAGGAAGAAGGCUUUCGGGUUGUAAACUUCUUUUAAGAGGGAAGAGCAGAAGACGGUACCUCUAGAAUAAGCCACGGCUAACUACGUGCCAGCAGCCGCGGUAAUACGUAGGUGGCAAGCGUUGUCCGGAUUUACUGGGUGUAAAGGGCGUGCAGCCGGGUCUGCAAGUCAGAUGUGAAAUCCAUGGGCUCAACCCAUGAACUGCAUUUGAAACUGUAGAUCUUGAGUGUCGGAGGGGCAAUCGGAAUUCCUAGUGUAGCGGUGAAAUGCGUAGAUAUUAGGAGGAACACCAGUGGCGAAGGCGGAUUGCUGGACGAUAACUGGCGGUGAGGCGCGAAAGUGUGGGGAGCAAACAGGAUUAGAUACCCUGGUAGUCCACACUGUAAACGAUGAAUACUAGGUGUGCGGGGACUGACCCCCUGCGUGCCGCAGUAAACACAAUAAGUAUUCCACCUGGGGAGUACGAUCGCAAGG